RNAcentral lists this ribosomal RNA (739 nucleotides) under Bacillus subtilis. RNAcentral's name for it is "bacterial SSU rRNA". It matches the Rfam family "Bacterial small subunit ribosomal RNA", at positions 51 to 773 of the family's 1533-position model. The record is from RNAcentral. Lineage: Bacteria; Bacillati; Bacillota; Bacilli; Caryophanales; Bacillaceae.
AUAAUGCAAGUCGAGCGGACAGAUGGGAGCUUGCUCCCUGAUGUUAGCGGCGGACGGGUGAGUAACACGUGGGUAACCUGCCUGUAAGACUGGGAUAACUCCGGGAAACCGGGGCUAAUACCGGAUGGUUGUCUGAACCGCAUGGUUCAGACAUAAAAGGUGGCUUCGGCUACCACUUACAGAUGGACCCGCGGCGCAUUAGCUAGUUGGUGAGGUAACGGCUCACCAAGGCGACGAUGCGUAGCCGACCUGAGAGGGUGAUCGGCCACACUGGGACUGAGACACGGCCCAGACUCCUACGGGAGGCAGCAGUAGGGAAUCUUCCGCAAUGGACGAAAGUCUGACGGAGCAACGCCGCGUGAGUGAUGAAGGUUUUCGGAUCGUAAAGCUCUGUUGUUAGGGAAGAACAAGUGCCGUUCAAAUAGGGCGGCACCUUGACGGUACCUAACCAGAAAGCCACGGCUAACUACGUGCCAGCAGCCGCGGUAAUACGUAGGUGGCAAGCGUUGUCCGGAAUUAUUGGGCGUAAAGGGCUCGCAGGCGGUUUCUUAAGUCUGAUGUGAAAGCCCCCGGCUCAACCGGGGAGGGUCAUUGGAAACUGGGGAACUUGAGUGCAGAAGAGGAGAGUGGAAUUCCACGUGUAGCGGUGAAAUGCGUAGAGAUGUGGAGGAACACCAGUGGCGAAGGCGACUCUCUGGUCUGUAACUGACGCUGAGGAGCGAAAGCGUGGGGAGCGAAC